This 371-nucleotide ribosomal RNA is filed under the name uncultured bacterium. RNAcentral's name for it is "bacterial SSU rRNA". It matches the Rfam family "Bacterial small subunit ribosomal RNA", at positions 775 to 1147 of the family's 1533-position model. The record is from RNAcentral.
GGAUUAGAAACCCUGGUAGUCCAUGCCGUAAACGAUGAACACUAGGUGUUGGGGGAGUCGAAUCCCUCGGUGCCGCAGCCAACGCGUUAAGUGUUCCGCCUGGGGAGUACGGCCGCAAGGCUAAAACUCAAAAGAAUUGACGGGGGCCCGCACAAGCAGCGGAGCAUGUGGUUUAAUUCGACGCAACGCGAAGAACCUUACCUGGGCUUGACAUGUCCGUGACCGGCGUGGAAACACGUCUUCCCUUCGGGGCACGGUCACAGGUGGUGCAUGGCUGUCGUCAGCUCGUGUCGUGAGAUGUUGGGUUAAGUCCCGCAACGAGCGCAACUCUCGCCCUUAGUUGCCAUCAUUCAGUUGGGCACUCUAAGGGG